This 24-nucleotide microRNA is filed under the name Solanum lycopersicum (tomato). Its description in RNAcentral is "sly-miR10541". Lineage: Eukaryota; Viridiplantae; Streptophyta; Magnoliopsida; Solanales; Solanaceae. The record is from miRBase by way of RNAcentral.
AGUCACUUUGAUGAUUGUCAAACA